GACAGCUGCAUCUGUGGCAGAGUGAGGCCCAUGGCUGUUGAGGAAUAUGCAUUCUGGCUUGUGGACUCCCCUCCUCUACUCCACCUUCACGUGAACACCUGUGAUGCUGCUCGUUCCCCAUUAGCACAGCCGGCCUCAGAGACCUCUCGCGGGAGCUAAGCAGAUCAUCUAGGAGAGGAAAUGGGGACCCAGACUAGUCAAGGUCAUGGAGCUAAAAAGGGCAGAACCAAGCCAGCCCCCAAGUCAGCAUUUGGCCGCCUUCUCACCCAGCAAAGCCGUUUGCUCCCUGGGAAACAUACAGAGACCACAAGUUCAGCCAUCUAGGAUGCCUUGCUCUCCUGCCUGUCCCCCAAGCACAACCUGAAAGGAAUGAACCGUGUGGAGGUACGAAUGCCAUCAUCCUAACCCCCAACCCUCGACAGCAGUAGUCCAACUCCUCCUGAACUGUGCCUUUAAGAGACCGAAAGCUUGGCUGGGGAUGGAUACCUGUUGCUAUGGAGAUGGCAGCCCGAAUUCCUGUAGUGGAGGGCUGCUGCUGCCAGUCCCCAUUCCUGGGGUUGAGGGGCACCUCAUAAGCUCAUCCAGACCCUUGUCCCCUCAUAGCCCACCAUCAUCCUAGCCAGCACCCCUUCCCUAAGUGGCCCUCUAACCCCACUUCCAUCCCACCAAAAAUAGUCCAUGGCAGUAUUUCUGGGGCACUUAGGCUGGCAGGAGGGAAGGCAUUGAGAGGCCUAGCAAUGAGGACGGAAAAGAAUACUUGGCCUUGGGUGACAGGCCUCACCACUCGGGGUGGGACUGGUCUCCAAGCCCCCUCCAGCUCAGAUGGCUGUCUCCCACCCUCCUCCCCACAUGGCCCUCUUGGCUCUCCCUUUCCACCAGCCACGUGUCUAUAUUAGGAGACUUGGAGCACGCAGGCCGAGGCCUCCCUCACAGCCUUGGAGCCUUCUUCCUCAUGGCCUGGGUUCCUGCAGAACAGUAGGCACCAACUGAAAAGGCCUACAUGGGCUCAGCAUCACCAAAUGCCGGCCCAAGGGGUGUCCUAAGAAGAUUCAUCCGCUCACGUUUAUUAGGUGCUAUUGUGUGCCAGGCGCUGUGCUGAGCAAUUUGGAUGCCGAGCUGGUUGAAUCCUUGCAGUGCUUCUAUUAGGCAGGUACUGUUCCAUCAUCCUCAUUGUACAGGUGAGAACACUGAAGUUCAGAGAGCUUAAUAAGCAACCUGCUCUGGGUCACACAGGAAGUGUGGGAGCUCGGGUUUGAACCAGGUCGAUGGGCCUCCAAACCUUGAGGCAUCCCCACCUUCAUUGCACGGUGAGAUGGACAGAGUAAAGGCAGGAGGUAGAGAAUUAUCUGUAUCUUCUUGGACAUCAGAGUAGGAGAGGCCAGUAGAGACUCCUGGCUCGCCUCCUGCAGCCCAGAGAUGCUGGCCCAAAGUCACACAGCUGGGGUGGGUGACAGCGUUUCCCCUGGGUGAGGGAGUCAGGGAAGGAAGGCUGCCUCCUCAGGUUGGGAGGACCUGGUCAUGACGAAAGCGGCUGGGGUACUGUGACGGUUAGGACUGGUGAGGAUUAGGACUUGUUCACAGAAAGGGCCCAGUUUUUCGCUCUGGAGGGCCCUCAGCAGUUGUUCCCCAGAAUGCAAAGACACCUUCCUGGUGGUCCCCAGGGCCCA
Kogia breviceps (pygmy sperm whale) is the source of this 1667-nucleotide non-coding RNA. The record is from RefSeq and is a predicted model, not a curated record. NCBI's taxonomy places the organism in Eukaryota, Metazoa, Chordata, Mammalia, Artiodactyla, Physeteridae.